UGGGGAAUAUUGCACAAUGGGGGAAACCCUGAUGCAGCGACGCCGCGUGAAGGAAGAAGUAUCUCGGUAUGUAAACUUCUAUCAGCAGGGAAGAAAAUGACGGUACCUGACUAACGAAGCCCCGGCUAACUACGUGCC
This 138-nucleotide ribosomal RNA is filed under the name uncultured bacterium. Its description in RNAcentral is "partial 16S ribosomal RNA". It matches the Rfam family "Bacterial small subunit ribosomal RNA", at positions 355 to 509 of the family's 1533-position model. The record is from RNAcentral.